This 1372-nucleotide ribosomal RNA is filed under the name uncultured bacterium. Its description in RNAcentral is "bacterial SSU rRNA". It matches the Rfam family "Bacterial small subunit ribosomal RNA", at positions 28 to 1381 of the family's 1533-position model. The record is from RNAcentral.
GAUGAACGCUGGCGGCGUGCCUAAUACAUGCAAGUCGAGCGAACGGACGAGGAGCUUGCUUCUCUGAUGUUAGCGGCGGACGGGUGAGUAACACGUGGAUAACCUACCUAUAAGACUGGGAUAACUUCGGGAAACCGGAGCUAAUACCGGAUAAUAUUUUGAACCGCAUGGUUCAAAAGUGAAAGACGGUCUUGCUGUCACUUAUAGAUGGAUCCGCGCUGCAUUAGCUAGUUGGUAAGGUAACGGCUUACCAAGGCAACGAUGCAUAGCCGACCUGAGAGGGUGAUCGGCCACACUGGAACUGAGACACGGUCCAGACUCCUACGGGAGGCAGCAGUAGGGAAUCUUCCGCAAUGGGCGAAAGCCUGACGGAGCAACGCCGCGUGAGUGAUGAAGGUCUUCGGAUCGCAAAACUCUGUUAUUAGGGAAGAACAUAUGUGUAAGUAACUGUGCACAUCUUGACGGUACCUAAUCAGAAAGCCACGGCUAACUACGUGGCAGCAGCCGCGGUAAUACGUAGGUGGCAAGCGUUAUCCGGAAUUAUUGGGCGUAAAGCGCGCGUAGGCGGUUUUUUAAGUCUGAUGUGAAAGCCCACGGCUCAACCGUGGAGGGUCAUUGGAAACUGGAAAACUUGAGUGCAGAAGAGGAAAGUGGAAUUCCAUGUGUAGCGGUGAAAUGCGCAGAGAUAUGGAGGAACACCAGUGGCGAAGGCGACUUUCUGGUCUGUAACUGACGCUGAUGUGCGAAAGCGUGGGGACCAAACAGGAUUAGAUACCCUGGUAGUCCACGCCGUAAACGAUGAGUGCUAAGUGUUAGGGGGUUUCCGCCCCUUAGUGCUGCAGCUAACGCAUUAAGCACUCCGCCUGGGGAGUACGACCGCAAGGUUGAAACUCAAAGGAAUUGACGGGGACCCGCACAAGCGGUGGAGCAUGUGGUUUAAUUCGAAGCAACGCGAAGAACCUUACCAAAUCUUGACAUCCUUUGACAACUCUAGAGAUAGAGCCUUCCCCUUCGGGGGACAAAGUGACAGGUGGCGCAUGGUUGUCGUCAGCUCGUGUCGUGAGAUGUUGGGUUAAGUCCCGCAACGAGCGCAACCCUUAAGCUUAGUUGCCAUCAUUAAGUUGGGCACUCUAAGUUGACUGCCGGUGACAAACCGGAGGAAGGUGGGGAUGACGUCAAAUCGUCAUGCCCCUUAUGAUUUGGGCUACACACGUGCUACAAUGGACAAUACAAAGGGCAGCGAAACCGCGAGGUCAAGCAAAUCCCAUAAAGUUGUUCUCAGUUCGGAUUGUAGUCUGCAACUCGACUACAUGAAGCUGGAAUCGCUAGUAAUCGUAGAUCAGCAUGCUACGGUGAAUACGUUCCCGGGUCU